UACGGAGGGUGCGAGCGUUGUCCGGAAUCACUGGGCGUAAAGGGCGCGUAGGCGGCGCGGGUAGUCAUCGGUGAAAGUUCAGGGCUCAACUCUGAAUCGGCCAGUGAUACUCCCGUGCUCGAGCACUGUAGAGGCAGGUGGAAUUCCGGGUGUAGCGGUGGAAUGCGUAGAGAUCCGGAAGAACACCGGUGGCGAAGGCGGCCUGCUGGGCAGUAGCUGACGCUGAUGCGCGACAGCGUGGGGAGCAAACAGG
This 253-nucleotide ribosomal RNA is filed under the name uncultured bacterium. RNAcentral's name for it is "partial 16S ribosomal RNA". It matches the Rfam family "Bacterial small subunit ribosomal RNA", at positions 524 to 776 of the family's 1533-position model. The record is from RNAcentral.